Long non-coding RNA from Culex quinquefasciatus (southern house mosquito), 166 nucleotides. RefSeq lists it as uncharacterized. The transcript is spliced from 2 exons. NCBI's taxonomy places the organism in Eukaryota, Metazoa, Arthropoda, Insecta, Diptera, Culicidae. The record is from RefSeq and is a predicted model, not a curated record.
AUCAGAAAUCUCAAGUCAAGACUUUUGUUUGUGUCUUGUUCCGGGUUAUAUUUCGGGAGGAAUUUGGCCAGCAGCUAGGUUAAAGCUGUACUCAUCCGUGAAUCUGUCGUAUGCCGAAAUUACCGAAUUACCGAAUAAAAACAUUUUUAUAAUUUUUUUGAGAAUA